RNAcentral lists this transfer RNA (63 nucleotides) under Platynereis dumerilii (Dumeril's clam worm). RNAcentral describes it as "tRNA-Gly". The record is from RNAcentral. Lineage: Eukaryota; Metazoa; Annelida; Polychaeta; Phyllodocida; Nereididae.
AUUACGUUAGUAUAAUAAGUACAGCUGCCUUCCAAGUAGCAAGUUUGGCGACCAAACGUAAUA